UACGGCCAUAGCACGUUGAAAUACCGGUUCUCGUACGAUCACCGAACCAUUGGGGCUGAUCAGUACUUAGAUAGGUGACCGUUUGGUAAUACCAGAUGUUGUAA
Molecule: non-coding RNA, 104 nt
Organism: Acanthosepion pharaonis
Lineage: Eukaryota; Metazoa; Mollusca; Cephalopoda; Sepiida; Sepiidae
Source: the annotation of a GenBank genome assembly